AGCGGCGAACGGGUGAGUAACACGUGGGCAACCUGCCCUCAGCUCUGGGAUAACCCCAAGAAAUUGGGGCUAAUACUGGAUAUGACUGCUGACCGCAUGGUCUGGUGGUGGAAAGAUUUAUCGGCUGAGGAUGGGCCCGCGGCCUAUCAGCUUGUUGGUGGGGUCACGGCCCACCAAGGCGACGACGGGUAGCCGGCCUGAGAGGGUGACCGGCCACACUGGGACUGAGACACGGCCCAGACUCCUACGGGAGGCAGCAGUGGGGAAUAUUGCGCAAUGGGCGAAAGCCUGACGCAGCGACGCCGCGUGGGGGAUGACGGCCUUCGGGUUGUAAACCUCUUUCAGCAGGGACGAAGCGGAAGUGACGGUACCUGCAGAAGAAGCACCGGCCAACUACGUGCCAGCAGCCGCGGUAAUACGUAGGGUGCAAGCGUUGUCCGGAAUUAUUGGGCGUAAAGAGCUCGUAGGCGGUCUGUCGCGUCGGCUGUGAAAACCCGAGGCUCAACCUCGGGCCUGCAGUCGAUACGGGCAAACUAGAGUGUUGCAGGGGAGACUGGAAUUCCUGGUGUAGCGGUGAAAUGCGCAGAUAUCAGGAGGAACACCGGUGGCGAAGGCGGGUCUCUGGGCAACAACUGACGCUG
RNAcentral lists this ribosomal RNA (641 nucleotides) under Blastococcus sp. I12A-02618. Its description in RNAcentral is "bacterial SSU rRNA". It matches the Rfam family "Bacterial small subunit ribosomal RNA", at positions 94 to 748 of the family's 1533-position model. The record is from RNAcentral. Lineage: Bacteria; Bacillati; Actinomycetota; Actinomycetes; Geodermatophilales; Geodermatophilaceae.